AAUGGGUUCAUAGGGAACCAUACCAUGAACGUUGUCUCAUACCGGACGGGGUAUGGGGACGGCUUGCUUCACCCUCAUACUGGAUGGGGUAUUGAGGUUUAAUGUCUUGGCGCUCAUACCGGACGGGGUAUGGGGACGGCCCUAGAAUUAAGAUUGUUAAAAUAAAGGGUUCACGCGUAGCGGGGACACCCCUAUGGAUCACCAUGUAUACUAGUAGGCUAGUGAAAUGAGAAAUGGUGAUGAUUAGUUAUUGUUAAUGAAUAUGAAUUUAUGAUAUGUUCUAUGUUACUGAUUGUGCAUGAAGUUAUGAUCUGUAUGAUGUUAUUGUCUUUAUAGGUUGUUUUCAUAGGUUCUCCAAGUGUAAGAAAAAGGGA
This 374-nucleotide long non-coding RNA is filed under the name Carica papaya (papaya). Its description in RNAcentral is "long non-coding RNA (CPAP_LNC014735)". The record is from RNAcentral. Lineage: Eukaryota; Viridiplantae; Streptophyta; Magnoliopsida; Brassicales; Caricaceae.